CAUUCUUUACCCAACAUUGGUAAAGCAACGCCGCUACAAAUUUCUCUGCUCUUGGAGAAGAUUUAUUCUCUUCUUUAGUUGCAGAAGCUAUGUUGUAGUGAUUGAAGAACAACUUUGACAUUAUCUUCCAUUUUGCUUUUCUCACAAGUGCUUGAAGACGAGAUUGAAGAUCGAUGGAGAUGGUUUAAGAUUAUACAGAUAAAAUGAAUAGACAGGCAGAAAAUUCAAAGCUAUUGUCAAAAAGAUCAAGAAAAUCAACACCUUCUUCUCGAAGGAUCUGGACUCCAGCAGAAGAAAGUGCUCUUUUAGAUGGUUUAAAAAAAGUGUGUGCUGAUGGUUGGCGAGCCGAUAAUGGAACCUUAAGGCCAGGAUACUUGAUGGAAUUAGAGCACUAUUUUCAUGAACGUCAUCCUAGUAGUCAAUUGAAAGGUGAACCACAUGUUAAUAAUAAAGUAAAAGCAUGGAAGAGAUGUUAUUCAAGCAUAAGUUUAUUAAAGAGUCGAAGUGGUCUGGGAUUUCAAUAUAGUGAUGGAACCAUAAUUGUUGAUGAUCCAAAACAUUGCGAUGAAUUUUUAAGAUUGAUCCAAAACAAAAAAGCAUGAAUACUAAGAAAUGACCAAUGUUUGAGGAUUGGGAGGAACAUUUUGGCUAGGAUCGAGCGUCGGGAGAGUUCGCAGAAGGGCCGCUAGAUGCUGCUGAGGAUAUUCUAAGGAGUCAAGCUUCAGGACUUUCUAAUGACAUGAGCUUAGGAUGGCCUAUUGUUGUUGAUGAAGAAGAAGAAGAUGAUGCUGGUGAUGGACCUAAUAUAGCUACUGGAGAAGCUAAAAAUGCUUAUGCUGGACCUAGUUUUAUUGGAGAAUCUGAAAAGGAAGAUGCUAGAGCAUCUGAACAUUAAUGUGCUGGAGCAUCUGAAAAUGAACAUGCAGGAUUCCAACAAAAUCAUAAACAAGGUGAGCAUUCUAAUAGGUCCUCUUCUAAUUUCAAUGAAAAAGAGAAAAGCAAGAAAAGAAAAAGGGUUGUGGAGGAUUCUAGUGAGGCAUUUCUUAAUAGGAUGACGGAAGUUAUGAAAAACUUUAUUGAAAGUCAAGAUAAAAGAAUGGGUGCCUUGAUUGAUAAGAUUAGGGAUCGUGACCGAUCCGAUAUUCCUGGUGAAAUUUAUUCCAUUCUUGAAUCUCCCGCAUUUAAGUUGUGCUCUGUACAAGAACAUAUCAAAGCUACAAUAAUUCUCUGUGAAGAUGUCAUAUGGGUGAACUUUAACGCCAAACAAUGAUGUUCAUGAUUGUCAAUGGUAAACUUUGAAGUAUAGUAAAGUUGUGUAUAUGUGGUGGAACUAGUUUGAUAGUUUUUGCUCGACUAACAACUUUAAAGUUAAACUGUAGUGCUAUUUUUGAUACCUCGGGUUAUGUCCAUACUCUUUUGUUUAUGACUGGUGGGCACGAGGAUGCUAUAUUUUUUGUGUAACUAAUGUCUAUUAAAUAGCUUAAAUCUAGUGUAAAUGUUAAGUGCAUAUGUAAUUAUAUUACUACUAUGACAAUUCUUCAAUUUCUCUUUUUA
Nicotiana tabacum (common tobacco) is the source of this 1554-nucleotide long non-coding RNA. RefSeq lists it as uncharacterized. The record is from RefSeq and is a predicted model, not a curated record. NCBI's taxonomy places the organism in Eukaryota, Viridiplantae, Streptophyta, Magnoliopsida, Solanales, Solanaceae.